UAUCACAGUGGCUGUUCCUUAU
Molecule: microRNA, 22 nt
Filed under: Bactrocera dorsalis (oriental fruit fly)
Lineage: Eukaryota; Metazoa; Arthropoda; Insecta; Diptera; Tephritidae
Description: bdo-miR-6
Gene: bdo-miR-6
Source: miRBase by way of RNAcentral